AAGCCGCAGCCCAGGGCUGCUCGCCGCUGUUCCCCCCGCCCCCUGUUGCAGGAGACACCGAGGCUCCGCGGAGCUGCGGCGGGGGCCCACGCCCAGAGACCGUGCGAGGAAAGCCAACCUCGUCCUGCCUGCCCUCCCAGCCGCGGGGGAGGGGGCCACCGCAGUACUUCAGGACAGUUACAUGGGCACAGCCUCCUCCGUCCUGGCGCAGGGUCAGGCUCCGCGGACGACGCCUGGAGACAGCUGCCAAUGCCAAUAGCUUUAGCCCUUUAUUCCCACUUAGAUGAUGGCCUGGCCUCUCCAGACCCCUCUCCCCUCCCAGACAUCCCCUGUGAGAAAGGAGGGAGAGGGUGUUCCUGACCUUCAGGAAACCUGCCAAUCUCUUAUACCCAUCUUACAGAAGAUAAGGAAGAGACAACUGGUUAUGAACUAAGUCAAAGCCUCAGGUAAAGUACAAGUUCUUCUAGAUAGGGGAAUUGAGCAUGCAGAUCCUAAAAUUCCUAGAGAACACCGCAGGAUGCCUGCUGCACCAUUUGCCGCACCGUUCUGAAAACCGACAUUUGUUCAGGUACAUUGAUCAGGAAAGGGAACAUUUGCACAUUUAUUGAGAGGAAAUUAAAUGGCAAGUAUUGUUAUGUGACUGGAAUGUAACAUUCCAUACUCUACCUGGUAACUUCCAAGGCUUUAUUUUGGGGGGUGGGGAGAACGAAGGACUUACUACCCUCUGUGGCUUCCUUAUGGUCACAUGAGGCAAAUCCUUUAUGAGAAGCACCAGGCUUCUAAAAGACUAGUGAUCGGCUGCAUGACAUGUCCAAUGAGAAAUUUUAAUUUUCUCAUAUGAUUCAUAGUUGUAAUUAUUUAUUUAUUUAUUUAUUUAUUUAUUUAUUUAUUUAUUUAUUUAUUUAUUUUGAGAUGGAGUCUCGCUCUGUCGCCCAGGCUGGAGUGCAGUGGCGCGAUCGCGGCUCACUGCAAGCUCCGCCUCCCAGGUUCACGCCAUUCUCCUGCCUCAGCCUCCCGAGUAGCUGGGACUACAGGCGCCCGCCACUACGCCCGGCUAAUGUCUUGUAUUUUCAGUAGAGACGGGGUUUCACCGUAUUAGCCAGGAUGGUCAAGAUCUCCUGACCUCGUGAUCCGCCCGCCUCGGCCUCCCAAAGUGCUGGGAUUAUAGGCGUGAGCCACCGCGCCUGGCCAGUUGUAAUUAAUUUUUUAAAUUUGCUUCAUUUCUCAGCCUGGAGCAUCCUUUUGGUGCCAGAAAGUAAAGAAAUGCUUUAAAAAGGGGACAGGGGGAUAUAGAAAGGACACAGGAGACAGCCUGAAAGAGCUCCUAAUGGCCAAGAUUGAAGAAUUUGAACAAAAAUAUGAAAUGAAGGUAUUGGAUUAUAACACAAGGAAUCUAGUAAAUACCCAUGAGUCCAUACUCCUAAAAAUAAAUGAACCAAAAAAUAAAAGGAGGAAAAGAAACAACUCUUCCUUAUAGACUAAUUCCAAUUAAUAGUUGUAGUAUGAAUGAAGAAAAUAGAAAAAUCACCAUUAGAAAACCACAGUAAUAAUUGCUACAGAGAAGAUCCACUGAUGAAUGCUAACGUUAGUGGUUGGAAAUUUAAGCUGCAUAGUUUCAAAGUUUCUCCCCGCAAAUACUUAUUAUCGCAAAGGGAAACAUGUUAACAGUACAGUAGAGAAAGCCAGUAGACGCCACCUUAACCAAGUGAUCAACACUAACAUCAUCAGUAACAAGACACAUAGAUAUCAUGUGCCCCCGAUAUGACAGAGGGCACGUUACCACUGUAGAUUCUUUCCCAAGAUGCAUACCCUCAAUCUAACCAUGGGGAAACAUGAGACAAAUCCAAAUUAAGGGACAUUCUACGAAAUGAUGAGAUACUCUUCAAAAGUGUCAAAGUCAUGAAAGACAGGUGAAAACUGAAGAACCGCCAUGGAUGGGAGACCAAGGAGAUCCUAAUGAGUCAACUAGUAUGCAAAGUGGAAUCCCAGAUUGGGUCCUGGAACAGAAAAAGGACAUCAGUGGAAAAAUUGCGAGAUCUGAACAAAGUCUGCAUUUUGUUAAUAGUGUGUUACCAAUGUUGGUUUCAUAGUUUUGGCCAUUGUGCUGUGUAUUUAUAAGAUGCUAACAUUAGGGAUAGCUGAAUGUGGUAUAUAUAGGAACUCUGUGCUGAGUUUAUAACUCCUCUGUAUGUCUAAAACUAUUUCAAAAUAAAAAGUUUAAAGGUAAAAAAAAAGAUUAAAAAAUAUAACUUGCUUUGUUGCUCUGUGUCCACAUUGAGUGGUAACUUGUAGGAUGGUCAGGAGUUAAACAAUGAGAGUAGGGAUCGUAAGUAGCUUAGAAAAGAGAAGCAUUAGUCAUAUGACUUGGUUCCAUUUCUCCCUCAACCAAUUAUGAGCUGUGUGACCUAGAACAAGUUAAAGUUACUUUUCUGUAAGUUUUUUGAUAUUUAUAAAGGGGAUGGGUCAGGGUACCAACCUCGUAAAGCUAGAAAUGAAGGUUAAACAAAAUCAGCUAUCUAAAGAAUGUAAUAGUGCCUGGCGCAUUGUCAGAACCCAAUCAAUGUUAACCAUGGUGGUGGUGAUGAUAUGGAAGUAUUGACAAUGAUGACAGUGAACAUGAACAGCCUGUAUGUGACAGCCACUAGCUCAGACCCUCUCUCUCCACGAAGCCCCUGAGGAUGUCUCAUCCCCCCACACUGCUGCAGAUCCCAUCAGAGCCCUCUGAUACUUUCUCUGUAUUCCCAUCCAGCCUUCUUCGGAUGUUUAUUGAGCACUUACUGCGUGACUUAGUAAUGUACAGUAUUAAGUAGCAGUAACACAGAGAUGAAAUAAAAGUGUGGGUCUCUGCUUUGGAGGGAGAAAUGGACAUGUUUCUUGUCUAGUGGGACAACUGCUACAUGAACCAAUCCUUUCUUUUAAUGCAGGGAAUGCUUUGCUGGAAAUAAGCUCAGGUAGUAUGGGAGCACCUAACCUAGCCUGAGCUGAGUCUUACCAGACGGAUGGGCAGAGGAUGAGGGGAAGGGAUUCCAGACAGAAGGAUCAAAUGGAUUAGAAAAGCCACAGGAUCCUUGA
Molecule: long non-coding RNA, 3072 nt
Organism: Homo sapiens (human)
Lineage: Eukaryota; Metazoa; Chordata; Mammalia; Primates; Hominidae
Exons: 3
Source: RefSeq, a predicted model, not a curated record